UACAGAGGGUGCAAGCGUUAAUCGGAAUUACUGGGCGUAAAGGGUGCGUAGGUGGUUCGCUAAGUCAGAUGUGAAAGCCCGGGGCUCAACCUCGGAAUUGCAUUUGAUACUGGCGGACUAGAGUGUGGUAGAGGGUAGUGGAACUCCCGGUGUAGCGGUGAAAUGCGUAGAUAUCGGGAAGAACACCAGUGGCGAAGGCGGCUACCUGGACCAACACUGACACUGAGGCACGAAAGCGUGGGGAGCAAACAGG
Molecule: unclassified non-coding RNA, 253 nt
Filed under: uncultured Gammaproteobacteria bacterium
Lineage: Bacteria; Pseudomonadati; Pseudomonadota; Gammaproteobacteria
Description: contains 16S-23S intergenic spacer region
Rfam family: Bacterial small subunit ribosomal RNA
Source: RNAcentral